AAUCUCCCCGUGAAGAAGCGAGGAUAACACUAUUGGACGAGAAGACCCCAUGGAGCUUUAAACCCAAUUAUAUCCCCAAUCCCUAUAACCAUUUAGUCUUUUGGGCCCCAUAUAUCUGGUUUUAGGUUGGGGCGACCACGGAGUAAAACCAAACCUCCGUGAUGUACGGAACAACCUCCUUAUCUAAAAGCCACAGCUCUCAUAAUUACCACACUAUCAUCAAAUGACCCAUUAUUGAUCAACGAACCAAGUUACCCUGGGGAUAACAGCGCAAUCCAUUUUAA
This 284-nucleotide ribosomal RNA is filed under the name Mantidactylus aff. femoralis PSG-2010. Its description in RNAcentral is "partial 16S ribosomal RNA". It matches the Rfam family "Bacterial large subunit ribosomal RNA", at positions 2048 to 2495 of the family's 2925-position model. Lineage: Eukaryota; Metazoa; Chordata; Amphibia; Anura; Mantellidae. The record is from RNAcentral.